Molecule: ribosomal RNA, 500 nt
Filed under: uncultured Myrionecta
Lineage: Eukaryota; Ciliophora; Litostomatea; Cyclotrichida; Mesodiniidae
Description: SSU rRNA
Rfam family: Eukaryotic small subunit ribosomal RNA
Source: RNAcentral
GCUGUCUAAGACUAGCCAUGCACGUCUAAGUACAAACUAAAUGAUGGUGAAACUGCAAAUGGCUCAUUACAACGGUUAUGAUGUACCCGGGAGUUCCGAUGGAUAUUCCCAGUAACACUAGAACUAAUACAUGUCCCUGCGUUUAUUAGUUUCGCACAGUCCGUCGCUGAGUCAUGGUAAACAGUUGAUCGACUCGACGUCCCGGAACAGUUUCCGCCCCAUCAGCUUCGAUGGUUGGGUAUUGGCCUACCAUUGCAACAACGGGUAACGAGGAAUUAGGGUUUGAUUUCGGAGAGGGAGCCUGAAAAACGGCUACCACAUCUACGGAUGGCAGCAGGCGCGCAAAUUACCCAAUGCAGACACUGUGAGGUAGUGACGAGAAAUAAUAAAGCGGGACUUCUGUUUCGCUAUUAUAAUGAGGAAUAACCAAAGGUCAUUCCGAUUACCAACUGAUGGGAAAGUCUGGUGCCAGCAGCCGCGGUAAUACCAGCGUCAGUAGC